AUGGCCGCCUCCCUCCUUUGCACCUGGCCUCGGCUGGAGUCGCCCCUGUCAGCAACCAGCUCGACCAUGAGGCUGCCCUCUCCUUCCCCUGCACAGGAGCUCGCAGCUACCACCAUCGCCUCCUUGCUGUUGGCAUCUCGAGGCCCCUUGUGCUGUUUUGUGUUGGACGUCAAGGCCACCGAGUUCGACUACGAGGAUUCGCCAAGUACCAUUUGGAUGCACCAAGUUCGACCAUAUGGACCGCUAAGUUCAACUACAAUCCUCGAGACCAUCGUGUUGCACGCCAACAUGAGUACGCCCACGGACGGCUUACCUGCGGAUGGAUUUCGUCAAGUUCAACGAUGA
This 345-nucleotide ribosomal RNA is filed under the name Triticum aestivum (bread wheat). RNAcentral's name for it is "partial small subunit ribosomal RNA". Lineage: Eukaryota; Viridiplantae; Streptophyta; Magnoliopsida; Poales; Poaceae. The record is from RNAcentral.